RNAcentral lists this non-coding RNA (30 nucleotides) under Cricetulus griseus (Chinese hamster). Lineage: Eukaryota; Metazoa; Chordata; Mammalia; Rodentia; Cricetidae. The record is from RNAcentral.
UAUAAACUCACUUUUCUGUGCCCCUAAAGA